This 545-nucleotide ribosomal RNA is filed under the name uncultured archaeon. RNAcentral describes it as "bacterial SSU rRNA". It matches the Rfam family "Archaeal small subunit ribosomal RNA", at positions 97 to 647 of the family's 1478-position model. The record is from RNAcentral.
AACGUGGAUAAUCUGCCCUCAGAUGAAGAAUAAUCCCGGGAAACUGGGGCUAAUGCUUCAUAGGAGACGGGUGCUGGAAUGCUCUGUCUCUGAAAGGUCCGCCGUCUGAGGAUGAGUCUGCGUCCGAUUAGGUUGUUGUUGGGGUAACGGCCCACCAAGCCUUUGAUCGGUACGGGUUGUGGGAGCAAGAGCCCGGAGAUGGAUUCUGAGACAUGAAUCCAGGCCCUACGGGGCGCAGCAGGCGUGAAAACUUUACAAUGCGAGCAAUCGUGAUAAGGAAACCCUGAGUGCCUGUUAUCGCAGGCUGUUCUGGUGUCUAACACACACCAGGAGAAAGGGCGGGGCAAGACCGGUGCCAGCCGCCGCGGUAAUACCGGCUGCUCGAGUGAUAGCCACUUUUACUGGGCUUAAAGCGUUCGUAGCUUGGUCGUUAAGUCUCUGGGGAAAUCUUUUGGCUCAACCAAAAGGCGUCUCAGGGAAACUGGCGACCUAGGAACCGGGAGAGGUAAGACGUACUUCGGGGGUAGGAGUGAAAUCUUGUAAUC